AGUUUAGUACAUGUGACUUCCAAUCACCUAGCCUUGGUUAAAAUCCAAGGAAAGAUA
Molecule: transfer RNA, 57 nt
Filed under: Chrysiptera traceyi (Tracey's demoiselle)
Lineage: Eukaryota; Metazoa; Chordata; Actinopteri; Pomacentridae
Description: partial tRNA-Gly
Source: RNAcentral